GACGAAUGGAGUACUUACUAUGUAGUAUGUGGGGUUUUCGCAAAAAAAAGUAGUAUUCAUGCAUGCACGUACAUACACAGAUCUAGUAUAACUUAAGAACUUGAAUGUGAAUUCCGGACGGUAGUGUCACUAUAGCCUGGGAUGUUCUAGAGAUGGAAUCGAUAUACAGGAGUCGCCGGCCCAUCAAUGACGGCCGCAGUGGCGCCAUUGAUGACGGUCGGCUAAGUGUAUGGGACGUUCGCGCAACAAAUUAGGAGCGGACGGACAAACAAAUCAUCGGUGGGGACGACCCAACGGCCAAUGCGACGAGGGUUUUCUAUGUUAGUCAUGGCGUGAUUAGCUUGCUGGUUGUCUUGCUUCCCGUUAUCACAUCUGGUUCUUCAGCUGCUGUUCACAUGCAAGCAAAGGGAGUAGAUCUUAGGUGUCAUAGUUGUAAAUUGCAAAGAAUUCAGAUUAGAUAAGAAUUGAAUCAAAGAGUGUCUCCGUCCCAUGAAUGAGUACCUUGUAUCGUGGAUUCAUGCUCCAAAUCCAAUCGCGUAUGGUUUAGGCGGCUGCCGGCCAAUAAAAUGUGGUGAGUUCCGAUGAGAUGUGUUGCAGCCCGGCGGCCAGAUUUUAAAACUACCUUUAUCUUUUGCUGGAGGUUGUUAUGCCGUAUCCAUGCAUAAAAGCCGGAACUAUAUUGCUCGUUGAUUUAUUGGGUGAAGAGAAAAUUACUCCAACCAGACCCGUUAAUCAUCACGGCACGUUUGGG
RNAcentral lists this long non-coding RNA (751 nucleotides) under Hordeum vulgare. RNAcentral describes it as "long non-coding RNA (HVUL_LNC019594)". Lineage: Eukaryota; Viridiplantae; Streptophyta; Magnoliopsida; Poales; Poaceae. The record is from RNAcentral.